UAAGACGUAGGGGGCGAGCGUUGUCCGGAAUUACUGGGCGUAAAGGGCUUGUAGGCGGGAUGGCGCGUCGUGGAGUAAAUCUCUCGGCUCAACUGAGAGAACAUCUGCGAUACGGCCGUUCUUGAGGACAGAAGAGGAAAGCAGAAUUCCCGGUGUAGCGGUGAAAUGCGUAGAUAUCGGGAGGAAUACCAGUGGCGAAGGCGGCUUUCUGGUCUGAUUCUGACGCUGAGGAGCGAAAGCCAGGGGAGCGAACGGGAUUAGAUACCCCGGUAGUCCUGUUGCUGUAAACGAUGGAUACUAGGUGUAGGAGGUAUUGACCCCUUCUGUGCCGCAGCUAACGCAAUAAGUAUCCCGCCUGGGGAGUACGGCCGCAAGGUUG
Molecule: ribosomal RNA, 379 nt
Filed under: uncultured bacterium
Lineage: Bacteria
Description: bacterial SSU rRNA
Rfam family: Bacterial small subunit ribosomal RNA
Source: RNAcentral